GGUCAGGACGAACGCUGGCGGCGUGCCUAACACAUGCAAGUCGAGCGAGGAGAUCCUCGGGAUGAUCCUAGCGGCGGACGGGUGAGUAACACGUGGGCAACCUGCCUCAUAGAGAGGAAUAGCCUUCCGAAAGGGAGAUUAAUACCUCAUAACAUUGCAGUUUCGCAUGGAACAGCAAUUAAAGGAGCAAUCCGCUAUGAGAUGGGCCCGCGGCGCAUUAGCUAGUUGGUGAGGUAACGGCUCACCAAGGCGACGAUGCGUAGCCGACCUGAGAGGGUGAUCGGCCACAUUGGGACUGAGACACGGCCCAGACUCCUACGGGAGGCAGCAGUGGGGAAUAUUGCACAAUGGGGGAAACCCUGAUGCCAGCAACGCCGCGUGAGUGAUGACGGCCUUCGGGUUGUAAAGCUCUGUCUUCAGGGACGAUAAUGACGGUACCUGAGGAGGAAGCCACGGCUAACUACGUGCCAGCCGCCGC
This 478-nucleotide ribosomal RNA is filed under the name uncultured bacterium. Its description in RNAcentral is "bacterial SSU rRNA". It matches the Rfam family "Bacterial small subunit ribosomal RNA", at positions 22 to 518 of the family's 1533-position model. The record is from RNAcentral.